GACGAACGCUGGCGGUGUGCUUCACACAUGCAAGCGAACGAGGUAGCAAUACCUAGUGGCGGACGGGUGAGUAACGCGUGGGAAUCUGCCCUGGGGUGGGGAUAACUAGCCGAAAGGUUAGCUAAUACCGCAUAUGCCGUGAGGUAAAAGGAGUAAUCCGCCCGAGGAUGAGCCUGCGUCCGAUUAGCUAGUUGGUAGGGUAAAAGCCUACCAAGGCUACGAUCGGUAGCUGGUCUGAGAGGAUGAUCAGCCACAAUGGGACUGAGACACGGCCCAUACUCCUACGGGAGGCAGCAGUGGGGAAUUUUACGCAAUGGGGGAAACCCUGACGUAGCGACACCGCGUGAGCGAAGAAGCCCUUUGGGGUGUAAAGCUCUGUCAGCAGGAACGAAAAUAAAUAUGACGGUACCUGCAGAGGAAGCAUCGGCUAAACUACGUGCCAGCAGCCGCGGUAAU
RNAcentral lists this ribosomal RNA (456 nucleotides) under uncultured bacterium. RNAcentral's name for it is "bacterial SSU rRNA". It matches the Rfam family "Bacterial small subunit ribosomal RNA", at positions 28 to 524 of the family's 1533-position model. The record is from RNAcentral.